UCAAGAAACUUCCACAAUGGGCGAAAGCCUGAUGGAGCGACGUCGCGUGAUGGACGAAGUGCUUCGGCACGUAAACAUCUUUUAUGUGGGAUGAAAUUAUUGACAGUACCACAUGAAUAAGGGGCUCCUAACUCUGUGCCAGCAGGAGCGGUAAUACAGAGGCCCCAAGCGUUAUCCGGAAUCACUGGGCGUAAAGGGUGUCGAGGCGGUUGUAUUAGUCGUUCGUAAAAUCUACGAGCUUAACUUGUAGGCGGCGAACGAAACGGUACGACUUGAGGUUUGGAGAGGUGCGUGGAACUCACGGUGUAGGGUGAAAUCCGUUGAUAUCGUGGGGAACACCAAAGGCGAAGGCAGUGCACUGGUACAUUCCUGACUCUGAGAUGCGAAAGCGUGGGGAGCAAAAAGGAUUAGAUACCCGCGUAGUCCCUGAGCGGGCUGGCAAGGCGCAU
Molecule: ribosomal RNA, 449 nt
Filed under: uncultured bacterium
Lineage: Bacteria
Description: bacterial SSU rRNA
Rfam family: Bacterial small subunit ribosomal RNA
Source: RNAcentral